Molecule: unclassified non-coding RNA, 3130 nt
Filed under: Hevea brasiliensis (rubber tree)
Lineage: Eukaryota; Viridiplantae; Streptophyta; Magnoliopsida; Malpighiales; Euphorbiaceae
Source: RNAcentral
GUACAUCCACCCCAUUCUUGCACCUCUGUUUCCGCCAUUACCUAAAUCUAAUGCAGACUAUGACAUAAAUUGCCCUGAAUGUGUCAUACUCUUUAUUUCGUUUGCAUCAAAUUCAAACAUUAUUUGAUCAGACAAGAGUAUUUGUAAUGUCUAAGAAGGAUUUAUGAGUAUUAACACAUAAUGCAUAGCAUUCAAGUGGUUAACAAUUAUUAAGUUAUAACAAAUGCUAUAAAGUAAGAGAGAGACAAUCCACAUUUUUGUAGCUGUAAAACAAAAGAGGCAGACAUACAACUGGUCUACGUUGGAUGGCUUCGUUUCAACGGCUGAAUGUGUUUCUGUUGUUAAGAGUUCUCUUCUUCCAGAAAAAGGAUCCUUCUUCCUGUCCACGUUUUCUUUUUGACCACGAACACAUCCCUUGACCUUCUAGAACACCUCCAUUAUUGCUCCCUAUAAACCACCAUUCACCUCCCCCACUUCCACAACCGCCACCUACCAUCUCAAUACCUCCUCCUCAACAACCGCUCUCUAGCGUUGUAAGAGUUUUCAAAGGAGAAGCAAUAGGAAGAAGAAUGCCUCCUUUUAUCACAACAAUGGCCUCUCAAAAUGACCACCUUAAUCGCUCUCGAGGCAUUGGUCCACAAUCAGAUAUUAUCACCAUUGACGUUGGUGGCCAAAUCUUUCAGACCACAAAACAAACCUUAGCUCUAGCUGGACCCAAAUCUCUCUUCUCCCAAUUUGCUCAUCCUACUCAACUGGGUCUUGGUCCUCUGUUCAUCGACAGAGACCCUGAGUUGUUCUCUGUCCUACUCUCUCUUUUGAGAACUGGGAAUCUCCCUUCAAAGGCUAAAUCUUUUGAUCUUGAAGAUUUGAUUGCAGAAUCCAAAUUUUAUAAUAUCGAGUCUCUGUUAAUUAACUCUCUAUCGAAUCCUUGUCAAUUUGAUGCUUUCAACCUCGAAAAGUCGCAGACUUUGCCCUUGAACGGCCGCGAUUACACUUCCGCCAUGGCCACGACGUCAUUUGGGACCCUUCACGUCGCUCAUGGCAGCAAAAUAACGUCUUUCGAUUGGGCCUUGCGCAGGAAGUCAACGAUACUCACCCAGUUCACGGCGAUCGAUUCUCUCUUGGCCAUUAAACCAACUCUGGCAGCCGCGGGAGCCACCGAUUUCUCGGGAAUGCAAAUUCUCGAUCUGGAAAAGGGUUUUGUAAGGGAAACUUUGUGUUGGGAAAACGUGACCCAAUCGAGCUCCACAGUUCAGGCAAUUGGAUCGUCUCCAGAUUUCUUGUUCACAAGUUUUGAGUCAGGUCGCAGGAACUCUAACUCGAUCAUGGUUUACGAUUUGCAAUCAUUUUCGCCAGUAACCGAGAUUGCUCACUGCGAGAUAUACGGUGCAGAUCUUGACUCAGCCAUUCCAGCCACAAAAUUGAAGUGGGUAGAGAGCUAUAACGUGGUAAUGGCAUCUGGUUCACAUAGCGGACCCUCUGGUAUGUUGGGAAAUGUGAAAUUGUGGGAUAUAAGGUCUGGAAAUGUGAUUUGGGAACUGAAAGAGAGAGUUGAUUGUUUCUCUGAUAUUACUGUUUCAGAUAGUUUGUCAGCUAUCUUUAAAGUUGGUGUCAAUUCAGGAGAGGUCUUUUACACAGAUUUGAGGAAAUUGGGUGAUGGGGAUAGUAAUCCUUGGAUUUGCUUGGGCGAUAAGAGGAAAAUGCUGAAUGUCAAGAAAGAAGGAGUUGGGUGCAAGAUUGAGUCUUACGGGAAUCAAUUAUUUUGUAGUAAAGGAGGAGAUGUUGAGCUUUGGUCUGAGGUUGCCAUGAAUUCUUCCAAGAAAAGCGAAGAUGGGUUGCCAAAUAGGGUCUUCAAGAGGAAUUUGAUGGGGAGAGCAAAAGAUAUGGGAGGAUCAAGAAUAACCAACUUGGCUUUUGGGGGAAGCAAGAUGUUUGUAACAAGGAAGGAUCAGCAAUCUGUUGAGGUUUGGCAAAGUUCUGUAAGGGGGUUAUAGAUUUUGAAAAUGCUUGAUUAGGAAUGAAUACUUGUUGAAAGUUGGGCUCUAUUUAUUGUAGUUCUUAGCUUGAUUCAUACAAUUGUAAAUGUUCAUGUAUAUUAUCAAAAUUAUACUGUGACUAGCUAUCUAAUUGUUUUGAGAUCAAUUGUUUUCCCCUGUUUUCUGAUUGCUAUUUAUGUGGAUAAUCAUCAAGGAGAAGGUGUUAAACCUCAGCUUUUUGGUUUAUACAUUUCAUCCUUUGCAAUGAACUGGUACAUGUAUAUUUCUUUCAUCCAAGGUGUUUAAUUUGCAUGUUCUACUUCUAUUACUGUGCUAUGUUUCUAUGAACAGGUUAAAAAUCUGUAGGAAGGUGGAAUGUUUCUGUCAGGUUGAAAGAUAAUUAUACUUGCAUUCAUAUUUGACAUUAGCCAACUUGCUGGUCCAAGGAGCUGUAGUCCAGUAAAAGCAACGGGAGUUUGAAGACACCGUGUGAAGUGGUUGGAAGCGCAAGCCAACCUCAUCUUGAAAAUUUGGAUGGAGGCAAGUAGUGAAGAAGUCUGAUAAUGAAGUUUUGAGUAUUUUAUGUUACAGAUUGAAGUCGAGAAACGAUGACAAAACAACUCAAGGUUGGUGGUAUUGCAUCUUUUUUCAAACCCCAUUCAUUUAUUUGUAAAUGGGUGGUUGAAGCACACAUCUCUUGAGGCUCAACAUAAAUUUGAGUGGAAAUGAUGAAACUAAACAUGGAUGGUUCCAGUACCAGUUAUUUGAGCCUGGGGUUUAGCUGAGCUGCUUCUUCAAGACGGUGACAGCAUUUAAUUUUUAGCUAUGAAAGAGAAUAUGUCCAAUAUUGUCUGCGAUUUUAAUAGUAGAGGCCCAUAGAGGCUGGCCCUGGCCAUUUCUUGUCAGUUGAAAACUUCAUGGGUGUAGACAAGGGCAUUGAAAAAGCUCGGGACAAUUUGUUAAAAAUAUACGAAGAAAAGUUCACGACACCAAUAUCUAAGGCAAGCAAUGUGGGGUUUGCCCUCUAAUCACAUCGUCCUUGUACAGAAGAGUGUACUCUAUUUUUGGACCAAUUAAUAUUUGAGUAAGAAAGUGUGGGUCAAUUAAUUAACAAUUCUCUUAUAUUUAUUUUGAAAAAUAAUUUUUAAAAAAAA